GACCUUGCCAUAUUGUAGCGGCCGAUAUCGAAUUAUCUAGUUGGUGGGGUAACGGCUCACCAAGGCGACGAUCCGUAGCUGGUUUGAGAGGACGACCAGCCACACGGGGACUGAGACACGGCCCAUACUCCUACGGGAGGCAUCAGUGGGGAAUUUUGGACAAUGGGGGAAACCCUGAUCCAGCCAUCCCGCGUGUGCAAUGAAGGCCUUCGGGUUGUAAAGCACUUUUGGCAGGAAAGAAACGUCCCGGGUUAAUACCCCGCGAAACUGACGGUACCUGCAAAAUAAGCACCGGCUAACUACGUGCCACCAGCCGCGGUAAUACGUAGGGUGCAAGCGUUAAUCGUAAUUACUGGACGUAAAGCGUGCGCAGGCGGUUCGGAAAGAAAGAUGUGAAAUCCCAGAGCUUAACUUUGGAACUGCAUUUUUAACUACCGGGCUAGAGUGUGUCAGAGGGAGGUGGAAUUCCGCGUGUAGCAGUGAAAUCGGUAGAUAUGCGGAGGAACACCGAUGGGGAAGGCAGCCUCCUGGGAUAACACUGACGCUCAUGCACGAAAGCGUGGGGGGCAAACAGGAUUAGAUACCCUGGUAGUCCACGCCAUAAAUGAUGUCAACUAGGGGUUGGGGCCUUCNGGCCUUGGUAGUGCAGCUAAAGCGUGAAGUUGACCGCCUGGGGAGUACGGUUGCAAGAUUAAAACUCAAAGGAAUUGACGGGGACCCGCACAAGCGGUGGAUGAUGUGGAUUAAUUCGAUGCAACGCGAAAAACCUUACCUACCCUUGACAUGUCUGGAAUGCCGAAGAGAUUUGGCAGUGCUCGCAAGAGAACCGGAACACAGGUGCUGCAUGGCUGUCGUCAGCUCGUGUCGUGAGAUGUUGGGUUAAGUCCCGCAACGAGCGCAACCCUUGUCAUUAGUUGCUACGAAAGGGCACUCUAAUGAGACUGCCGGUGACAAACCGGAGGAAGGUGGGGAUGACGUCAAGUCCUCAUGGCCCUUAUGGGUAGGGCUUCACACGUCAUACAAUGGUCGGGACAGAGGGUCGCCAACCCGCGAGGGGGAGCCAAUCCCAGAAACCCGAUCGUAGUCCGGAUCGCAGUCUGCAACUCG
Molecule: ribosomal RNA, 1107 nt
Filed under: Achromobacter xylosoxidans
Lineage: Bacteria; Pseudomonadati; Pseudomonadota; Betaproteobacteria; Burkholderiales; Alcaligenaceae
Description: bacterial SSU rRNA
Rfam family: Bacterial small subunit ribosomal RNA
Source: RNAcentral